Molecule: long non-coding RNA, 248 nt
Organism: Vollenhovia emeryi
Lineage: Eukaryota; Metazoa; Arthropoda; Insecta; Hymenoptera; Formicidae
Exons: 2
Source: RefSeq, a predicted model, not a curated record
UAGCGAAGCAACUGUAACUGUAACUAUUAUAGAUAGGACCUAAACCAAAGGUCGAAACGUUGUGAAAGCGUAUUCAAUAAGUGCGGGCCAGGUCGAUUAAAAUUUGAAAUUUUUUUGUAACCAGAUACUUUUAUAAAGUAACUUUCCCAACCCUGAUAAUUAUACCAUUUUGUUAGUGAUUAUGUAAAUUUACUCUUUACAUAACUUGAGGUUCUUGUAACGAAAAAAAAAGAAUUAUUUUUUCAGUA